UACGGGAGGCAGCAGUGGGGAAUAUUGCACAAUGGGCGCAAGCCUGAUGCAGCCAUGCCGCGUGUAUGAAGAAGGGCCUUCGGGUUGUAAAGUACUUUCAGUCGUGAGGAAGGUGUUAAGGUUAAUAACCUUAGCAAUUGACGUUAGCGGCAGAAGAAGCACCGGCUAACUCCGUGCCAGCAGCCGCGGUAAUACGGAGGGUGCGAGCGUUAAUCGGAAUUACUGGGCGUAAAGGGCACGCAGGCGGUUAAUUAAGUUGGAUGUGAAAUCCCCGGGCUUAACCUGGGAAUGGCACUCAAGACUGGUUAGCUAGAGUCUUGUAGAGGGGGUAGAAUUCCAUGUGUAGCGGUGAAAUGCGUAGAGAUGUGGAGGAAUACCGGUGGCGAAGGCGGCCCCUGGGACAAGGACUGACGCUCAUGUGCGAAAGCGUGGGGAGCAAACAGGAUUAGAUACC
This 454-nucleotide ribosomal RNA is filed under the name uncultured bacterium. RNAcentral's name for it is "bacterial SSU rRNA". It matches the Rfam family "Bacterial small subunit ribosomal RNA", at positions 340 to 786 of the family's 1533-position model. The record is from RNAcentral.